GGCAAACGGGUGAGUAACGCGUGGGUGACCUGCCUUCGAGUGGGGGAUAACGUUCCGAAAGGGACGCUAAUACCGCAUGACAUCCUGUUUUUGAAGAGGUGGAGAUCAAAGCCGGGGAUCGCAAGACCUGGCGCUCGAAGAGGGGCCCGCGUCCGAUUAGCUAGUUGGUGGGGUAACGGCUCACCAAGGCAACGAUCGGUAGCCGGCCUGAGAGGGCGGACGGCCACACUGGGACUGAGACACGGCCCAGACUCCUACGGGAGGCAGCAGUGGGGAAUUGUUCGCAAUGGGCGCAAGCCUGACGACGCAACGCCGCGUGGAGGAUGAAGAUCUUCGGGUCGUAAACUCCUUUCGAUCGAGACGAACGGCCUCCGGGUGAACAAUCUGGGGGAGUGACGGUACCGAGAGAAGAAGCCCCGGCUAACUCCGUGCCAGCCGCCGCGG
This 444-nucleotide ribosomal RNA is filed under the name uncultured bacterium. RNAcentral describes it as "bacterial SSU rRNA". It matches the Rfam family "Bacterial small subunit ribosomal RNA", at positions 97 to 520 of the family's 1533-position model. The record is from RNAcentral.